AUGUUGGCUUAGAAGCAGCCACCAUUUAAAGAGUGCGUAAUAGCUCACUAGUCGAGUGACCCUGCGCCGAAAAUGUACCGGGGCUAAACAUAGUACCGAAGCUGUGGACUACACCAUUAGGUGUAGUGGUAGGAGAGCGUUCUAAGGGCGUUGAACGUCGAUCGUGAGGACGGCUGCAACGCUUAGAAGUGAGAAUGCCGGUAUGAGUAGCGAAAGACAGGUGAGAAUCCUGUCCACCGUAUGACUAAGGUUGACUGGGGAAGGCUCGUCCGCCCAGG
RNAcentral lists this ribosomal RNA (278 nucleotides) under Cronobacter sakazakii. RNAcentral describes it as "partial 23S ribosomal RNA". It matches the Rfam family "Bacterial large subunit ribosomal RNA", at positions 1098 to 1378 of the family's 2925-position model. The record is from RNAcentral. Lineage: Bacteria; Pseudomonadati; Pseudomonadota; Gammaproteobacteria; Enterobacterales; Enterobacteriaceae.